GAUGAACGCUGGCGGCGUGCCUAAUACAUGCAAGUCGAGCGAACGGACGAGACGCUUGCUUCUCUGAUGUUAGCGGCGGACGGGUGAGUCACACGUGGAUAACCCACCUAUAAGACUGGGAUAAUUUCGGGAAACCGGAGCUAAUACCGGAUAAUAUUUUGAACCGCAUGGUUCAAAAGUGAAAUACGGUCUUGCUGUCACUUAUAGAUGGAUCCGCGCUGCAUUAGCUAGUUGGUAAGGUCACGGCUUACCAAGGCAACGAUGCAUAGCCGACGUGAGAGACGGAUAGCCGGCAUGGGAAGUGGGCCACGGUCCAGGGUACUAAGAGAGGGAGCAGUAGGCAAUGGGAGGCAGUGGGCGAGAGCAUGGCGGAACAAGGCGACGUGAGUGGUGAAGGUGUUCGGAUCGGAAUGCUGUGUUAUGGGGGAAGAACAUAUGUGGAAGGAACUGAGGACAUAUUGACGGUAAUUGAUCAAAAAGCCACGGCUAACUACGUG
Molecule: ribosomal RNA, 497 nt
Filed under: uncultured bacterium
Lineage: Bacteria
Description: partial 16S ribosomal RNA
Rfam family: Bacterial small subunit ribosomal RNA
Source: RNAcentral